CGAACGCUGAAGCUUGGUGCUUGCACUGGGUGGAUGAGUGGCGAACGGGUGAGUAAUACGUGAGUAACCUGCCCUUGACUCUGGGAUAAGCCUGGGAAACUGGGUCUAAUACUGGAUACGACAUGUCACCGCAUGGUGGUGUGUGGAAAGGGUUUUACUGGUUUUGGAUGGGCUCACGGCCUAUCAGCUUGUUGGUGGGGUAAUGGCUCACCAAGGCGACGACGGGUAGCCGGCCUGAGAGGGUGACCGGCCACACUGGGACUGAGACACGGCCCAGACUCCUACGGGAGGCAGCAGUGGGGAAUAUUGCACAAUGGGCGAAAGCCUGAUGCAGCGACGCCGCGUGAGGGAUGACGGCCUUCGGGUUGUAAACCUCUUUCAGCACGGAAGAAGCGAAAGUGACGGUACGUGCAGAAGAAGCGCCGGCUAACUACGUGCCAGCAGCCGCGGUAAUACGUAGGGCGCAAGCGUUGUCCGGAAUUAUUGGGCGUAAAGAGCUCGUAGGCGGUUUGUCGCGUCUGCUGUGAAAGCCCGGGGCUUAACCCCGGGUGUGCAGUGGGUACGGGCAGACUUGAGUGCAGUAGGGGAGACUGGAAUUCCUGGUGUAGCGGUGAAAUGCGCAGAUAUCAGGAGGAACACCGAUGGCGAAGGCAGGUCUCUGGGCUGUUACUGACGCUGAGGAGCGAAAGCAUGGGGAGCGAACAGGAUUAGAUACCCUGGUAGUCCAUGCCGUAAACGUUGGGCACUAGGUGUGGGGAACAUUC
Molecule: ribosomal RNA, 764 nt
Filed under: bacterium LGM53
Lineage: Bacteria
Description: bacterial SSU rRNA
Rfam family: Bacterial small subunit ribosomal RNA
Source: RNAcentral